Molecule: long non-coding RNA, 1351 nt
Filed under: Mus musculus (house mouse)
Lineage: Eukaryota; Metazoa; Chordata; Mammalia; Rodentia; Muridae
Description: RIKEN cDNA D030068K23 gene
Source: RNAcentral
GUUUUGAAUCUUUGGCAUCUUCAGGGAUGGAUGGAAUCCUACAACUGAGGGAGACUGCGGUCUUGGGCGUGAGCAAGUGAGGAAAAGCGUGCUGGAGCGACCAGCAGCAAACCUCCUCAGAGAGGUGACGCCAGCUUCUUGGUUUUCACCUUAGGUCUGUUCCUCCAAGCCGGGGUGCCUUUCCCUCAUUUACGCUCCUGAGGGAUGCUCUGCUUGUAACCUUCCGCAGGGUUCCCGCGCGCGCUCCACACCUUUCCCAGUUGUGGUUUACACCCCACUGACUUCUCUCAUCACAUCCGUGUCUCCAUCACCAUCAGAUACUUUUCUCAGUGCGUCUGAAAAUGAUGGGAAAGGCUCUCAAGCAGCCUAACGAGCACACUACCACCAGCACCCUUCACAAACUGAGCCCAGAACUUUCUUGAAGAAAGGAUGCUGCUGGUCUCCCAGACCUUCCUGCUCAAAACCAUAAGUUGGAAACACUCUGCAACGUGCUGCAAAAUUAAUCUACCUACGGCUCUGCUGGCACACCCAGAUGUCCUGAAACUUUCCCGAGUGUGUUCGGAGCAGCCACUUGGAAUCAUCCAGAGUCUGCCUUCUACAUGAGACCUGUCUGUCUCACCUGUACUUGGGAUGAAGUCUCCAUAUGCCAGCAUACAGAAUCUAUAUGGACAGCUGACAGUUGGCAUUGAAAUGUCCGCCUAUCGGCAGAUCACCAACAGGGAACACUUACAGCUGAGAAGCAAGAUAUAGGACUCCCUGAACCAUGUCCUGCGAGGCCAGUCUAGUAGAGAUACGUUUUAAUAAAAGUCAAUUAAAUGGACUUCAUUUUGCUUACAUUCUUCAUUGAAAGUUAAGGAAGACUGCAAGAGAACAUUCUAACAACAUAUGGGAGUCACACAGAUAAUCUCCAAGCAUUCUAACGUUACUGUCUUCUUUGCUAUGGAUCAAAGCACACCCUACCUUCCCUAUGAUACACUGUGAAUCUAGCAUUCAUUCGUCCUGGUGGCUUUUUAAAGCUCACUUUCUUGUUUGUGAAAUAACAACUUCUGAAAUGUUGUUAGAUCAGAUCAUCUUGCUUUAUUGUAUUUAAUCAUAUGCAGCCCAUGUUUGCCACCCUCAAGCUCUGAGAAAGAUCCUUCUUCCGUGAUCGAAUAAGUCAGUUUACCUGUGAAGAAUCGCCAUUAAUCUUGCCUUUUUAGACUGAUGUGUCCCAGUCAUUUCUUUUUCCCUCUCUGUAUGCUGCUACUCCAAAUUUUAGUGGCCUUUAAUAGGAUACUAUUAAAGUUCUAGGUCAGAUUUGCACAUAAAUUUUAACCAUUGUCGUCCAUCUAAUAAAUUUCUUUCUAAGUUC